CCUACGGGAGGCAGCAGUGGGGAAUAUUGCACAAUGGGGGAAACCCUGAUGCAGCGACGCCGCGUGAGCGAGGAAGUACCUCGGUAUGUAAAGCUCUGUCAGCAGGGAAGAAAAUGACAGUACCUGACCAAGAAGCCCCGGCUAACUACGUGCCAGCAGCCGCGGUAAUACGUAGGGGGCAAGCGUUAUCCGGAUUCACUGGGCGUAAAGGGAGCGUAGACGGUUAAGUAAGUCUGGAGUGAAAGGCCGGGGCCCAACCCCGGGACUGCUCUGGAAACUAUUGAACUUGAGUGCAGGAGAGGUAA
Molecule: ribosomal RNA, 305 nt
Filed under: uncultured bacterium
Lineage: Bacteria
Description: bacterial SSU rRNA
Rfam family: Bacterial small subunit ribosomal RNA
Source: RNAcentral